GACGAACGCUGGCGGCAUGCCUAACACAUGCAAGUCGCGCGGGCAGUAAUGUCAGCGGCGGACGGGUGCGUAACGCGUAGGAACAUAUCUAGAGGUGGGGGACAACCCUGGGAAACUGGGGCUAAUACCGCAUAUGAGCUGAGGCUCAAAGCAGCGAUGCGCCUUCGGAGUGGCCUGCGUCCGAUUAGCUUGUUGGUGGGGUAAUGGCCUACCAAGGCGACGAUCAGUAGCUGGUCUGAGAGGACGAUCAGCCACACUGGGACUGAGACACGGCCCAGACUCCUACGGGAGCAGCAGUGGGGAAUAUUGGACAAUGGGCGCAAGCCUGAUCCAGCAAUGCCGCGUGUGUGAAGAAGGGUC
This 360-nucleotide ribosomal RNA is filed under the name uncultured bacterium. RNAcentral describes it as "bacterial SSU rRNA". It matches the Rfam family "Bacterial small subunit ribosomal RNA", at positions 28 to 417 of the family's 1533-position model. The record is from RNAcentral.